UUAAGACCUGGAAAAGCUAGAAACAGCAGCAGACUGGCAAAAUAAGGCUCCAUGUUUUUGUACAGGCUGCUAAUCAUAUUUCAAACCAGAACCACCUGCUGAAGACCUGCAGAAACAAAAGUGGAAGGAUUCUUAAUGUCCUAAUUUGAGAGGAGGUUAUAGCACAAUAUUAUUAAGAUCAAACUACCUCAUGCUUGAAAUCAAGAACAAACCAAUCUUCUUUGACAAAAAGGGGAAACUCUUGCAGCCCAGCAGUGAUGAAUCUUGACUUCUCAGCUGUUAAACAGACCUGAGCAUUGCCCCAGAGUGAAAGAGUCCCAGUAACCACUGCUUUUGCAGCAGCAGCUGUGAGCAUGCCCACUACUUGAUAUGUAAUGCAUUUGUCAUACAGCCUGGGUUGAAAGAAGUCAAACAGAGUAAAAGUCUAUUAUCUGAAGCUUCAAUCAGAAGGGAGGUACCUACUUAACUUCUCUCCUGAUGCUGAUGUGAACACAGCAGGUACUGCUCGUAGGUGGUGACUGAUAAGAGGAUCUGUGGUGGGGCUCCUUACC
Long non-coding RNA from Zonotrichia leucophrys gambelii, 551 nucleotides. RefSeq lists it as uncharacterized. Lineage: Eukaryota; Metazoa; Chordata; Aves; Passeriformes; Passerellidae. The transcript has 3 exons. The record is from RefSeq and is a predicted model, not a curated record.